GACGAACGCUGGCGGCGUGCUUAACACAUGCAAGUCGAGCGGAAAGGCCCUUCGGGGUACUCGAGCGGCGAACGGGUGAGUAACACGUUAGUAACCUGCCCCAGACUUUGGGAUAACCCUCGGAAACGGGGGCUAAUACCGGAUACGACACAGCUUCGCAUGGGGUCUGUGUGGAAAGUUUUUCGGUUUGGGAUGGGCUCGCGGCCUAUCAGCUUGUUGGUGGGGUGAUGGCCUACCAAGGCGACGACGGGUAGCCGGCCUGAGAGGGCGACCGGCCACACUGGGACUGAGACACGGCCCAGACUCCUACGGGAGGCAGCAGUGGGGAAUAUUGCACAAUGGGCGGAAGCCUGAUGCAGCGACGCCGCGUGAGGGAUGACGGCCUUCGGGUUGUAAACCUCUUUCAGCAGGGACGAAGCGUAAGUGACGGUACCUGCAGAAGAAGCGCCGGCCAACUACGUG
This 462-nucleotide ribosomal RNA is filed under the name uncultured bacterium. RNAcentral's name for it is "partial 16S ribosomal RNA". It matches the Rfam family "Bacterial small subunit ribosomal RNA", at positions 28 to 507 of the family's 1533-position model. The record is from RNAcentral.